GCAGCUCAUUUGGAAUGCCUUGGCUCUUUUAUAUCAGGAAGAAUAAGCCUGUCAAAGACUCAUCCAUGCAUAGGGACCGCAACUAUACCGGUGGAAUUACGAAUUUGCCGAGUCUUGCUGCUCCAAUGGCCUGUGCAUCCAGUGUAGUCAGUAUCUUAGGUAUCGACAUUCCUCCUGAGAUGACAAUUUCAAUUCCUUCUCGGACAGAGAGAUUAGGCCUUAGGAUAUCCUUUGACCUGAUGAGGAAGAUGUCUCCAAGAUAAAGGUGAUUUGUAGGCACAUAAAUGGAGCAGAGUUCCUCUGUACCCAGUCGUCCACGAAGAAUAACAGUUGAUGUGAUGAAACCAAAUGCGUAUUCUCCAUUAUGUGGAUGUCUUAUGAUGGCUACUUCCUUGAAGGCAUUGGAGGUCUGAUCUGGUGAUAUCGCAGCACUGAUUUGUUUAGAGGCGGAGUAAAUAUAGCUAAUAAGAGGCAUUUUCUUGAUAAACCAUUCUCCCAAAUUAAGAAGAGAGGCUCCCAACCAUGAAGACAUGAACACACCAAUCAGGAAUACAAAAGUCAUGGAAGUCACAAAUCCAAAGCCAAAUACAUUGAUUCCUAGAUGAGUAUAGAUUGGAGAGAAGAUUCCAUCCACAAAACAGAUAAACCACCAGGUGACACAGAAUGUGAUGGCUAUAGGAAGUAAAAUUACACUGCAAAACAACACCAAAUACUAGCUAUUCAUUUACCAAACUCAUUAAAAUAUUAUCAGAACAUAUACUAGCUAAAUUACUCCACUAAUUUACAUAAAUUGGGAUCCACUAUUCAGGUGGGAACUACUCCUUGUGAUGUAAGUAUGAAGCAUGUAUAUUUAGUGUGCAAAGGCUGAGAAUUCAGUAAAAUUGUGAAGUGCUCAGAGGAGG
RNAcentral lists this unclassified non-coding RNA (902 nucleotides) under Hevea brasiliensis (rubber tree). The record is from RNAcentral. Lineage: Eukaryota; Viridiplantae; Streptophyta; Magnoliopsida; Malpighiales; Euphorbiaceae.